Molecule: transfer RNA, 75 nt
Filed under: Burkholderiales bacterium LSUCC0115
Lineage: Bacteria; Pseudomonadati; Pseudomonadota; Betaproteobacteria; Burkholderiales
Also listed under: 1 other name
Description: tRNA-Val
Rfam family: tRNA
About the family: Transfer RNA (tRNA) molecules are approximately 80 nucleotides in length. Their secondary structure includes four short double-helical elements and three loops (D, anti-codon, and T loops). Further hydrogen bonds mediate the characteristic L-shaped molecular structure. tRNAs have two regions of fundamental functional importance: the anti-codon, which is responsible for specific mRNA codon recognition, and the 3' end, to which the tRNAs corresponding amino acid is attached (by aminoacyl-tRNA synthetases). tRNAs cope with the degeneracy of the genetic code in two manners: having more than one tRNA (with a specific anti-codon) for a particular amino acid; and 'wobble' base-pairing, i.e. permitting non-standard base-pairing at the 3rd anti-codon position.
Source: RNAcentral
GGACAGCUAGCUCAGUGGUAGAGCACUGCCUUCACACGGCAGGGGUCACAGGUUCGAACCCUGUGCUGUCCACCA